AAUACCGGAUAGGACCUCAAGACGCAUGUCUUCUGGUGGAAAGCUUUUGCGGUGUGGGAUGGGCCCGCGGCCUAUCAGCUUGUUGGUGGGGUGACGGCCUACCAAGGCGACGACGGGUAGCCGGCCUGAGAGGGUGUCCGGCCACACUGGGACUGAGAUACGGCCCAGACUCCUACGGGAGGCAGCAGUGGGGAAUAUUGCACAAUGGGCGCAAGCCUGAUGCAGCGACGCCGCGUGGGGGAUGACGGCCUUCGGGUUGUAAACCUCUUUCACCAUCGACGAAGGUCCGGGUUUUCUCGGAUUGACGGUAGGUGGAGAAGAAGCACCGGCCAACUACGUGCCAGCAGCCGCGGUAAUACGUAGGGUGCGAGCGUUGUCCGGAAUUACUGGGCGUAAAGAGCUCGUAGGUGGUUUGUCGCGUUGUUCGUGAAAUCUCACGGCUUAACUGUGAGCGUGCGGGCGAUACGGGCAGACUAGAGUACUGCAGGGGAGACUGGAAUUCCUGGUGUAGCGGUGGAAUGCGCAGAUAUCAGGAGGAACACCGGUGGCGAAGGCGGGUCUCUGGGCAGUAACUGACGCUGAGGAGCGAAAGCGUGGGGAGCGAACAGGAUUAGAUACCCUGGUAGUCCACGCCGUAAACGGUGGGUACUAGGUGUGGGUUUCCUUCCUUGGGAUCCGUGCCGUAGCUAACGCAUUAAGUACCCCGCCUGGGGGAGUACGGCCGCAAGGCUAAAACUCAAAGGAAUUGACGGGGGCCCGCACAAGCGGCGGAGCAUGUGGAUUAAUUCGAUGCAACGCGAAGAACCUUACCUGGGUUUGACAUGCACAGGACGCGUCUAGAGAUAGGCGUUCCCUUGUGGCCUGUGUGCAGGUGGUGCAUGGCUGUCGUCAGCUCGUGUCGUGAGAUGUUGGGUUAAGUCCCGCAACGAGCGCAACCCUUGUCUCAUGUUGCCAGCGGGUAAUGCCGGGGACUCGUGAGAGACUGCCGGGGUCAACUCGGAGGAAGGUGGGGAUGACGUCAAGUCAUCAUGCCCCUUAUGUCCAGGGCUUCACACAUGCUACAAUGGCCGGUACAAAGGGCUGCGAUGCCGUAAGGUUAAGCGAAUCCUUUUAAAGCCGGUCUCAGUUCGGAUUGGGGUCUGCAACUCGACCCCACGAAGUCGGAGUCGCUAGUAAUCGCAGAUCAGCAACGCUGCGGUGAAUACGUUCCCGGGCCUCGUACACACCGCCCGUCACGUCAUGAAAGUCGGUAACACCCGAAGCCAGUGGCCUAACC
This 1276-nucleotide ribosomal RNA is filed under the name Mycobacterium avium. RNAcentral's name for it is "bacterial SSU rRNA". It matches the Rfam family "Bacterial small subunit ribosomal RNA", at positions 165 to 1440 of the family's 1533-position model. Lineage: Bacteria; Bacillati; Actinomycetota; Actinomycetes; Mycobacteriales; Mycobacteriaceae. The record is from RNAcentral.